UAAUUAAGAACUCAGCUGGAAGUAAGACACAAGACAACAGAGUGCUCCCAGUACCUGGACUGAGAUAUAUUGCCCGAUAGUAAUUUAAUAUAAUAUUGGCUUUCCACGGGCUGUAUCCUGACCGGGUGACCCUGUAAAUGGAUUUGGUCGUACUGCAACGAUGAGAGAUGUGGUUUUGCGUGCUUUGCACAUGCAGACCCUGCUUCUGCAGAAUAUGCCUGCAGAGACUGAAGCAUACGACUGAUCUGGGAACAUACAGCAGUGAGAUACUCAGUGCCCUGCCUGCACCCUGUUGUGCAGUACCUUCAGAGGAGAGGAGGAAGACGCAGAGAGAGAGAGUCGGUUGACGGAGCCGACCAGAGCGCGCACACCACGUUUAGCAGCUGGAUCCAGCGCCACUGCAGGAAAUGAAAAUGGGGGGCGCGGAUCGCCGUGGAAACGGGCGGCGAUCGCCGCGGGAGCGAGGAGCAGGAAGCCGGGUGGGGAAAAAUUCGGGACGCGCCGCAUCGCCGGGAUGCGGACAGGGGUGCGGUCGGUUCCUCCGCCGCUGGUCAGUCCGUCCAUGUCCGUGUAAACAGCCGAAGCAGGGAAGUGCAGCUGUUAGGGAAUCCCAGGACGGGAAGUCGAGGGGUGGCUUUCACGCCCCUGAUUUGCACCUCGGAAAACCGAUCCGCUCCUUCCGAGGCUAUGCGUUAGCGGCUCUGCGGGCUCUUCGGGCAGCCUGGACUGCCGAGUUUAACGACUCAUGUUAAUAAUCUCUGGUGUAAUUAGUUUCUUUUUUUUGCACAUUCACGGAGAACGACGUGCCUCCGGGGGCCAGCGGAUGCUGCGGGCCUCCUCUCGAGAAUAAGAGGAGUCGAGUUGAAGGCUUGAUAUGUCUGAGGGCUGACGGGGUGUCACCGCGCCGACCCCCUAGAUCCCCGUGCGAAAAGGAGGCCUCUCGCAGCCGGCGGAUGUUAAGCGCAAGCCUCUGGCGAGGCCGACCAAUCGCAGCAGAGAGGACGCAGCGCGUCCUUCGCUUCAUUCUGCGUCAGUGCCACCAAGUUUGCGUCGCCCCUGGCAACCUAAAAGCCUGCCCUCACGAAAAUGGAACAUACUAAAUUAUAUUGAAACGAAAUGUGUUUUAAAUAUAUUGCAACCCCUCAGAAUAUAUGGACAAAUGUACAAAUGAUUGCCUCCUUCAGAUAUUGCAGCACAUUUUUUGAAGAUACACUGCCGUGAAAUAUAUUUAUAAAAAAGCACAUAUUUGCAGUAUAUUUCAGUAUUUUCCAUUUAAAUAAGAGCUGAAGAAAGCUGCUGUGUGUGUGAAAGAGCAGUAGGGUUAAAGACGCUAAGCAAUGCUCAUUUUAUAGUUUUUUUCCAUGCAGUAAAGUUUGCUUCAGCUAUG
Anguilla rostrata (American eel) is the source of this 1387-nucleotide long non-coding RNA. RefSeq lists it as uncharacterized. The transcript is spliced from 4 exons. Lineage: Eukaryota; Metazoa; Chordata; Actinopteri; Anguilliformes; Anguillidae. The record is from RefSeq and is a predicted model, not a curated record.